AAAGGAAAUUUUUACUUGCAUUUAAAUAUAACACAAUUUAAUUUCACACUUUUCAAUCAUACAUCAUAUAUACUAUAAAUAAAACCCUUUAAAAAGCACUGAAUAAACAUAUCAAAUGUGCUGUAAGAUCAGACAAAUAUUUGUUAUAUAAACAUCAUCUUUUUACUUUGCAGUACACUUUCAUUAUUUGUAAAAUAUCAGAACUAUUUCCUGAAACCAGAUACAGAUACAGAAUCAUAUAGUAUUGUAGUUAUAAAGUAAUUGAACACAAAAUUAAAUAAUAAAAUACCUCUCCUGGGUCUAGUACUGUCAAAAGUCAAACAGGGUGUAUAACUUUUCUUGAUCAUGUAUAAAAGUAAAUGUUUAUUGGAAUGCAGAGUUGUUUCAUAACAUUUCAAAGCAUGUAUAGCAGAAAAGCAUAAACCAAAAUUUUGCAAACAUAAAUUUUUGUUAAAAUUGAUCUAAGCAGGCAUUAAAAGAUAAGAUGUUUGGAUGUUAAAAUGCUUUCAACAUUAAAAUACGUUUCUAUUUUUAUAAAUAUAUCUUCAAGUUUAUAAAGCAACUGUUAUUCUUUUUUUUAAUUUAUAAGAAAUACAUUUUUAGUCAACUUAAAAGCCAUGUUUUAAUUUUUUUAAUGAUUAUAUUUCUUAAAAUACAAUAAUAAUGUAAAUAUUCAUUUUUUCAUCAAGAUUUGAUUGAAAACAAUGGUUUUAUUUGAGUAGAAAAAUAAAGGGAAUGAAGAAAAUUUAUAGAUAUAUAUCAAUUAUUUUUGACAUUGAUUGCAAUAUUUUACAAACUAAAAGUAAUUGUUCAACAUAAAAAAAAUUGUCUUGGGAGGACCUGAAAUUUCAAAAUUGAAUGAAUUUCACUUUUAACCUUUUAGAUCAAAUAUCAAGACUGCCAACCUGUUUUAGUCAAAAAUAUGAAAGAAAGUUUUAGUUUCUUUAACUUGUAAACCAUUGUAUAAGUUCACAGUAUAUAUAAAAAAAAAUGGAAAUUUAUUUUUUAUAUGUAGCAUAGUCAAUAUUUUCCUCAAAGAUAUGCUAUAGAAAUAUGAGUAUUGACAGGUUCCUGUCAUGGAAAAGUCGAAAAAAAAGUAUAAACAUUAAAAAGGUUGAUAGACAAAUCUUUUUGAAUUUCCCCACUAAGUGAAGUUAAAAUGCAGUAAAAUAUUUUGAAAUCAUUUUGCAAAUGAAAUACAAUAUAAAGGUCAGUCAUGAAGUAAAGUUUCAUCCAAUAUAAAUUUUUAAGAUAUUCACUUUUUAACAUUAUUUUUCUUAUUCAUAGAUAAGAAAUGUGGUAUGAGUGUCAAUGAGACAACUCUCCAAUGGUAUCAUAAUUGUAAGAGUAAAAUAUCCUUUUUUGAACAAAUACUUAUAAUAUUUACUAAAAUCUAAAUUAUUCAAUAAUAAAAACAGACUGCAUUGAGAGGUGUUUUAUAUAAUACACAGGAGCCAAGCAUUCAUACCCUAUCUUCUUCAAUCAUACAAAAUCACGACACCAUCAAAUUGGUGACAUAUAUAAUAUACAUGAUGCUUGUGUAGAAGUAUUGUACAUUGCACGUUCCCUUCAAAAACAGAAAAAAAACAAACCAUGUGAGCACAAUUCCAUGACCAUUAAAACUGGAAUAUUUUUAUAUACAAAUAAAUAGUUCAUCUCUAUUUCACCCUGCCAAACACAGCUAAAACAAAACAUUUACUGGAAGUUCUAUUAAAAAUAUUCAUACACAAGGAGGAAUCUUAAUGCAUCUCAUUUUCAAACAUAAUAUUAAAACUAAUAUUCAUCAACUUCAAUCUCACCAUUUAUCAUUUGCAGCAACUCAUGUACACACAUUCAGCCUCACGUAUACUAACACACGUAUAUUCAUACUCAUACUAUGUAUAAAUAUAUAAGUACACUGGCAAUUUUGAGUUCAUAUCAAAAGAGCAGAAUAUUUUUUUAAUACAUUAUGUCUGUGUUAAUAGUAAUUUCCCUUAUUCUUGUUCUAUCUGACUUAACAUAUUCUCAAUCAUCAAAUAUUGUGAUACAUUUUAACUACAUAGUUAACACUGAACACUUUAAUCUGUUUCAUUUUCGAAAAUUCUUUAUUUUAGCGAAAAAAAUAAAACAAAACAGACACAUUCUUUUUCUGUUUAGGGUUAGAUACUUGUCAUUUUAUCUUUUAAUUAAAUUUCCAACACUUUAUUUAUGUAAACAAAAUGAUAUAUAUUUCAUCAAAUGAAAAAUGUGAAUAGCUAUUGCUAUACUAAUGAAUUUUGUCUUUGUAAAUUUCAAUUUCGACAGCUUUCAAAUAUAGAUAUGUCAUAACUUUUACUCAUCUUUACACACAUCAGCAGCUCUAGGCUCUUUUCACCAAAAUUAUAAUUGUAAGAUUAAGAUUCUUGCAGUCAUGAACAUUUUAAUAUGACUUGAAAAUCUGAAUUGUGUAACUUUAAUAUGAAAAGAGUCACUGUGUCGCUUCAACGUGUAGGGAUGUGGUAGUCAAUUGCUUGGUUCAAAUGCUGCAUUUCUUGAAACAAAAAACUAAUAAUUACAUUAUUUUUACAAGAAUUAACAAAGUUUGACCCACAUUUUUUCCCGUUUCCAUCAAACCAGACAUCUAUAUAAUCUAUAUAGUACCAUGUUAUCAUGUUUCAAAUUUAACCAAAAAAUGAAGUCUCGUCGUGAAGCUACUAAUAGGUAACCCUCAUCUUAUUGGUUUAUUGUAUCAUCAUAAUGAGACAGUUGUAAACUGUGUUCUUGGUCAAACUAUAUAUGUACCCUCUGCUGAUUAGUGUGAAUUUAAUCAAUAACUGUUUCUGAUAAAAAUAUAUUACAAAUGGAAAUCUGAUUUUUCAAAAGAAUAUUUUUUUUUUUUUUAAAAAGCCAAACUGAAAUGAAUGCAACCCUAUAUUAUAGAACUCCAACUAUUGAUAUAUUUUACUAAUGAAACACAAAAAAUGCUUAAAUAAAUUCACAAUCUCACUCACUCUAUCAGACUUUCUCAUUCAUCAAACACAAGACUUCCAUGAAGCAUAUCUCAAACAAAAAAAAAUAGUCACCAAUUUACAUACUCUAAAAUCUUCAUAUAUAUAUUUUAAACAAAUUAUGCAUACACACAAAAAUCGUAAAAUAUACACAAACACUAAGACUAUUUACACAAGACUUAAUUGUACACAAAAUCACAGUAAAGUCAUAUUAUGUAUUAUAAUGCCAUGGCAACUGAGAUGAGAGGAAUAUUGACCUUGAGGAGGUCAACAGGUGAUUAAGAAUCUGACAUGAUUUUCUAAGUAUAUUUCAGCUUAGUACACAAAUGAAAUAAAUGUAUCGCCCUAUCUAUAUGAAUUUGGUCUGCCACUGUCAGUUCAAAAACUGUUUCGUCUUUUAUUAAAGCCAUAAAUGAGAUCUACUGAAUAUUUAAUAAAUGAAAAUAUUCAUUUUAGAUUCAACGUUUACAUUCUUUAAUUUCUAGGAUUAAAUUGUUUAUUUUUUUGCACUUUCUGUAAAAUCUGAAAUUCUUAUAAAAUUUUCAUGAUUUUUUUUUCUGAAUUGAAUGUAAUUUUUACCAAACAAUUCUUAUGAAAAUAAAACAAAGAAAUUUCAUCAUUAAUAUGCCACUUAUUAAAAUAAGUAACUUUAUUU
Molecule: long non-coding RNA, 3621 nt
Filed under: Mytilus galloprovincialis (Mediterranean mussel)
Lineage: Eukaryota; Metazoa; Mollusca; Bivalvia; Mytilida; Mytilidae
Source: RNAcentral